UACGUAGGGUGCGAGCGUUAAUCGGAAUUACUGGGCGUAAAGCGUGCGCAGGCGGUUUGCUAAGACAGGUGUGAAAUCCCCGGGCUUAACCUGGGAACUGCGCUUGUGACUGGCAGGCUAGAGUACGGCAGAGGGGGGUGGAAUUCCUGGUGUAGCAGUGAAAUGCGUAGAUAUCAGGAGGAACACCGAUGGCGAAGGCAGCCCCUGGGCCUGUACUGACGCUCAUGCACGAAAGCGUGGGGAGCAAACAGGAUUAGAUA
This 260-nucleotide ribosomal RNA is filed under the name uncultured prokaryote. RNAcentral describes it as "partial 16S ribosomal RNA". It matches the Rfam family "Bacterial small subunit ribosomal RNA", at positions 524 to 784 of the family's 1533-position model. The record is from RNAcentral.